Poecilia reticulata (guppy) is the source of this 1560-nucleotide non-coding RNA. NCBI's taxonomy places the organism in Eukaryota, Metazoa, Chordata, Actinopteri, Cyprinodontiformes, Poeciliidae. The record is from RefSeq and is a predicted model, not a curated record.
GCUAAAGGAGAAGAAAAUAAACCCUGAAAUGUCUCUGAAGUGACAGUUUCACCAGAAAUCAUUACAAUUCACCUCUCAUGAAUUGAAACGUUCCUGGAGUCACAUCGGUCACUUCCGCUGAUCGUUUCCUCCUGAUCUGAGCACAAAACAAACAAGAUUACCAGGAACAAAUGUUUUUAGCCCCUUUUUUAGUUUUUAGAGUUUAAGGCUGAAAUUUAAUUUCAUCUGAAACUUGGAUCUGGUUAGAAAAUCCCUUCAUCAUUUGGAGAAUCACAAUGAAAGCUUCAAGCAGCAUGGCCGCUGCUAUUGCUGCGUCACUCAUCGGGUUGUCAGUGGAGUUCAUGGUGGCUCUUCCCGGUUCCAGUUUACCUGGAGGUAAUCCAGAGUCUCCACCUGAAAUAGUGAUGGUAGUGGAAGUGGAAAGAUAAUUUAUAAAGUAUUCACGGCUCUAAGAAUCAUAACUGUGUCCGUGAAAGUGUGGGCCUGUAGGAAUGUUAGCUGUUAGCUAAACAGGAAGAACGAGACCCACAAUCAGGUCAGCUCUGAGGAGACGGAGCAAAACCCAGGAACUCUGAUCAAAUCACGAAGAAAUGACAGAAUAUAAUCCACAGCUGGAGAGCAGUAGGAGAAAGUAGUGAGGCAGAGCGGUCAGUCUGACCUGCUGAUGGAUAACCAAACCAGUCUAACCAUAAACUUUAUCAAAAUAAAAGUUUUAAGCCCUAUUAAUUAAUUUUCAAUGUGUGGUUGUCAUGACAACAAAGGUCAAACGAACCUUGUUGAACAUUUAGUUUUUAAAUGAUCAUUGUUGCCACCCAGGCUUCUUUCUGGCUGGUCCAGUUGAUCUGGGAACAAACAAAGUUUUUCCAUAUCGAGACGCUUCAUGAUAACCGAACCUGGUCAGAAAAUGAAGUUAAAGAACCAAAACGGCUCCACAGCAGAGAAACUGAGGAAUCUGCCGACCGGAGUCAGAUCAGACUCAGGUUUCAGAGGAGCUUCAGUCAGGAUGAACAUCUACAGUUAAAGUCAGAGGCUGCAGCUGUUUUAAGACGUUACAGUGUCAGAGGUCAGAGGUCAUUCAGCUGGAGAUCACAGAAACAUCACAGCUGCUUCUGGACAGAAUAUUAAUAUUAGCUGUGAAGUCAGUGAUGAGAAAAGCAUCAUAACUGUGGAAUGGAGAAGAGCAGAAGAUCCGGAGGAUGAUCAUGUGAUUGUUUACAAAAACGAGAAAAUAAGUUCUGAUGAUCAGCUGAAACAGUUCAAAGGUCGAGUGAAUCUGACGAUACAGGAGCGAAGCUUGAGUUUGAUUGUGAAGAACGUAACGACCAAUGACAGCGGAACGUUUGAGUGUCGAGUUCAGAGAGCAGGAAGUGGUGGGAUGGAGCACGUCUGCACCAGAAGCCUGGAGGUUUCUCCUCCUGCAGGGAACCUGGAUGGAAACAGGAAUGAUGAAGAGAACCAGGAUGGAUCUGCUGGUCCAAUCAGUGAUGGGGCCCAAACUUGGAUCAUUGCUGUUGUUGUUGUUGUUGUUGCUGUUGUUGUUGUUGUUGUUGUUGUUGUUGU